Molecule: ribosomal RNA, 440 nt
Filed under: uncultured bacterium
Lineage: Bacteria
Description: partial 16S ribosomal RNA
Rfam family: Bacterial small subunit ribosomal RNA
Source: RNAcentral
CCUACGGGAGGCAGCAGUGGGGAAUAUUGCACAAUGGGGGGAACCCUGAUGCAGCGACGCCGCGUGAGUGAAGAAGUAUUUCGGUAUGUAAAGCUCUAUCAGCAGGGAAGAAAAUGACGGUACCUGACUAAGAAGCCCCGGCUAACUACGUGCCAGCAGCCGCGGUAAUACGUAGGGUGCAAGCGUUAUACGGAUUUACUGGGUGUAAAGGGAGCGCAGGCGGGUGAGCAAGUCUGAAGUGAAAUGCGGUGGCCCAACCCCAGGACUGCUCUGGAAACUGUAAAGCUGGAGUGCAGGAGAGGUAGGCGGAAUUCUUGGUGUAGCGGUGGAAUGCGUAGAUAUUAGGAGGAACACUAGUGGCGAAGGCGGCUUACUGGACUACAACUGACGUUGAGGCUCGAAAGCGUGGGGAGCAAACAGGAUUAGAUACCCCUGUAGUC